CCAAAGGCUCUUUUAAGAGCCACCCACGUUUUCUUUCAAAAGAGCU
Regulatory RNA element from Ficedula albicollis (Collared flycatcher), 46 nucleotides. It matches the Rfam family "Histone 3' UTR stem-loop". From Rfam's summary of the family: The mRNAs of metazoan histone genes lack a poly-A tail. NCBI's taxonomy places the organism in Eukaryota, Metazoa, Chordata, Aves, Passeriformes, Muscicapidae. The record is from Rfam.